CCUUGGUAUUUAUUUUGAAGUUUUGCAAGAGGGACUCGGCGAGUUCAUAGCCUGACUCGCCGAGUAGGGUCGGGAUUUCGAGCACGUGAUUAGCUGGCGACUCGGCGAGUCCAUAUUCUGGACUCGGCGAGUCUGCCCGUCUGGGAGAAACCCUAAAUCUCCGGGUUGCCCACUAUUUAAGCCACCUUAUAGCCCCCAAUCCCGCCUCCUUCACCCUCUAAAGCUGUGAGAAAACCCUAAUUCGUUCUUGAGCGAUUCUAAGUGAUUUUGUGUGCUAAUUGUGAAGGCUUGAAAAAGGAGAAGAAGAAAGGAGCAAGGAGAAGGAUUGUAGAGCAGAGAUUCAAGGGAAAGCAACAGCUCUUUGAGCCGGGGAGAUACCGGAGCAGCAGCAGCUAGCUUCCAGAGCCAUACACUCAGCAGCCAGUUCACGAGGUACUUCCGCUUGUAGAGGGAAGAGCUCGGGAUGAUGGCAUCGCACACACCACAGCUUCAGCUUUUAUCCUGGGAGUUGAUUUGGUUCUUGAUUUUUAUAUGACAUGGAUAUGAUACAGUUUUCCGCACAGUG
This is a non-coding RNA of Lactuca sativa (garden lettuce), 565 nucleotides long. Lineage: Eukaryota; Viridiplantae; Streptophyta; Magnoliopsida; Asterales; Asteraceae. The record is from RefSeq and is a predicted model, not a curated record.